UACGUAGGGUGCGAGCGUUAAUCGGAAUUACUGGGCGUAAAGCGCACGUAGGCGGCCUAGCAAGUAGGGAGUGAAAGCCCUCGGCUUAACCGAGGAAGUGCUUUCUAAACUACUAGGCUUGAAUACUGUAGAGGGAGGUGGAAUUUCCGGUGUAGCAGUGAAAUGCGUAGAUAUCGGAAGGAACAUCAGUGGCGAGGGCGACUUCCUGGACAGAUACUGACACUGAGGCACGAAAGCGUGGGGAGCAAACAGG
Molecule: ribosomal RNA, 253 nt
Filed under: uncultured bacterium
Lineage: Bacteria
Description: partial 16S ribosomal RNA
Rfam family: Bacterial small subunit ribosomal RNA
Source: RNAcentral